Molecule: ribosomal RNA, 481 nt
Filed under: uncultured bacterium
Lineage: Bacteria
Description: partial 16S ribosomal RNA
Rfam family: Bacterial small subunit ribosomal RNA
Source: RNAcentral
GACGAACGCUGGCGGCGUGCUUAACACAUGCAAGUCGAGCGGAAAGGCCACUUCGGUGGUACUCGAGCGGCGAACGGGUGAGUAACACGUGAGUAAUCUGCCCCUGGCUUUGGGAUAGCCACCGGAAACGGUGAUUAAUACCGGAUACGACCACUUCUCGCAUAGGAUGGUGGUGGAAAGUUUUUUCGGCCAGGGAUGUGCUCGCGGCCUAUCAGCUUGAUGGUGAGGUAAUGGCUCACCAUGGCUUCGACGGGUAGCCGGCCUGAGAGGGUGACCGGUCACACUGGGACUGAGACACGGCCCAGACUCCUACGGGAGGAAGCAGUGGGGAAUAUUGGACAAUGGGCGGAAGCCUGGUCCAGCAACGCCGCGUGAGGGAUGACGGCCUUCGGGUUGUAAACCUCUUUCAGCAGGGACGAAGCGCAAGUGACGGUACCUGCAGAAGAAGCACCGGCCAACUACGUGCCAGCCGCCGCGGUAA